This 342-nucleotide ribosomal RNA is filed under the name Triticum aestivum (bread wheat). RNAcentral's name for it is "partial small subunit ribosomal RNA". The record is from RNAcentral. Lineage: Eukaryota; Viridiplantae; Streptophyta; Magnoliopsida; Poales; Poaceae.
AUGAACCGUACAUGUGACAAACGGUCUGGUUUGGCAUGGCUAAGAAAAGCAAGCGAGGCCUUCGGAGUUGAGCGAGGGUAUCCCAAGUUUGAUAGACUAAAAGUAGAAAUACCUCUUAUGAUCAUGAGACAUUUCUAUUUAGCUGGAACCAAUGAAGAAAUUUCUCUAUACACAAGAGUGGUGCUGAGGCCAUUUACUACUUUAGGGAUUGAAUCAUCGAAAGCCACAGAAAAAAGGCAAACGAAUCUGCACAAAGGGAAGAAAAAUGAACGAAGAAACACUCAAUGCAAGCUGCUUCUUUGUCCUCCACCCUCAACGCGAUGGCGGCAAUUGGAGGAUUGA